This 253-nucleotide ribosomal RNA is filed under the name uncultured bacterium. Its description in RNAcentral is "partial 16S ribosomal RNA". It matches the Rfam family "Bacterial small subunit ribosomal RNA", at positions 524 to 776 of the family's 1533-position model. The record is from RNAcentral.
UACGUAGGUGGCAAGCGUUAUCCGGAUUUACUGGGUGUAAAGGGCGUGUAGGCGGGGACGCAAGUCAGAUGUGAAAACCACGGGCUCAACCUGUGGCCUGCAUUUGAAACUGUGUUUCUUGAGUACUGGAGAGGCAGACGGAAUUCCUAGUGUAGCGGUGAAAUGCGUAGAUAUUAGGAGGAACACCAGUGGCGAAGGCGGUCUGCUGGACAGCAACUGACGCUGGGGCGCGAAAGCGUGGGGAGCAAACAGG